UAUCAUAUUGCGUGAGUGAUGAAGGCUAUUUUGGUCGUAAAGCUCUUUGAUGAAUCGAAGAUAAUGACAAAGGUUCAAAAACAAGUCCCGGCAAACUCUGUGCCAGCAGCCGCGGUAAGACAGGGGGGGCAAGCGUUAUUCAGAAUGACUGGGCGUAAAGGACACGUAGGUGGUAUUCGUAGUUAUUCAAGUGAAAGCCCAAAUUUUUUUGGAAGAGCUUAUAAAACCAGAAUACUGGAGUUUGAGAGAGGAGGGUAGAAUUUCUAGUGGAAGGGUAAAAUCUGAAGAUAUUAGAAGGAAUACCAAAAGCGAAGGCAGCCCUCUGGCUCAAAACUGACACUGAGGUGUGAAGGCAUGGGGAGCAACCGGGAUUAGAUACCCCGUUAGUCCAUGCUGUCAACGAUGUUGGCUUCUUCUUGGAUGCAUCCAUUCAGGGAGUCCGCAAACGCUCGAAGCCAACCGUCUGGGGAGUACGAUCGCAAGAUUAAAACUCAAAGGAAUUGACGGUGGCCCACAAAAGUGGUGGAGCAUGUGGUUUAAU
This 541-nucleotide ribosomal RNA is filed under the name uncultured bacterium. RNAcentral's name for it is "bacterial SSU rRNA". It matches the Rfam family "Bacterial small subunit ribosomal RNA", at positions 390 to 950 of the family's 1533-position model. The record is from RNAcentral.